UGUAAACAUAAAAUAUUUGUUCAGUUUGAGGAAGCGAAUCGAUAAUAGACGUUGGAAUAUGUAUGCAAUACAGACUAUAUUGCCGAUUGUAGUACUGGCUAAAAAAUACCCUUUAUGACAGGUAUACUGGAUUAUGAAAGACUGAUAAACAUAAAAUUGACAACUCAUCUCCCCAACGAUACUUUGUGUGGCUCAUUCUCGGAACAAACCCAUAGUCAGUGAGAAAACUACAGUGUAAAAAGACCACUUGAUUGUGACAAUUAUGGCUGACCAAGCAAAUGUUAUCAUUUAAAAUAAAGAAAACUUCCAGUUCAAUAUACAUUUUAUACCAAUUAUGACAUUGGCCAACACAGAAAAUAAUUAUAAGGUUAAUUUUCCAAAUAUUGACUGUUACAAUUGGAUACUGUUUUAAGCUUCACUCUACUUUGUCUGAAAAUAAAAGUCCUAAAUGAUGUAAUAGAAACAUACAUAUUUAAUUUUUAGUUUAACAAGGAUAUAUAUAUACAUACAUAUAUUAUAAUAUCUUUUUAUCGAUGGUCAAUCAAUUUAAGUUUAACUCAUAUAUACAUACACAUUUUAUACAUGUGUAUGCUUUGAUUUUUUUCUAUUGAAGCCAAAUUAAUAUCCCAUUAGAUAGAUAGAUAAUAUCACAGCAGUAUUCCUAUUUUGUCUGCAAGUACUGCAGAAAUCAUGGAUUAUUAUUUUACUGAGUCAGCCUUAAUCUUUAUAUUGUAAUUGUUAAAACAGAUUAAGAUGUGCAUUAUACAAUUGAGGAUGCAUCAAGAUUAAAAAAUGGUACAUGUAUAAAUUAAUAAAGAAUCAAUAACAAUCAGAAACUGUGCUUUUUUUUCAGUAUUGUGUGAAAGGAUUUGAAGUAAUGAUGUGUUUUUGAAAUAUGAUUUAUGUGAAUUUGAAUAAAUAUAUAAAAUUUA
Molecule: long non-coding RNA, 932 nt
Organism: Dreissena polymorpha
Lineage: Eukaryota; Metazoa; Mollusca; Bivalvia; Myida; Dreissenidae
Exons: 2
Source: RefSeq, a predicted model, not a curated record